AACGAACGCUGGCGGCAGGCCUAACACAUGCAAGUCGAGCGAGAUCUUCGGGUCUAGCGGCGGACGGGUGAGUAACGCGUGGGAAUAUGCCUCUUGGUACGGAAUAGCCUCGGGAAACUGGGAGUAAUACCGUAUGUGCCCUUUGGGGGAAAGAUUUAUCGCCAAGGGAUUAGCCCGCGUUGGAUUAGGUAGUUGGUGGGGUAAUGGCCUACCAAGCCGACGAUCCAUAGCUGGGUUGAGAGGAUGAUCAGCCACACUGGGACUGAGACACGGCCCAGACUCCUACGGGAGGCAGCAGUGGGGAAUCUUAGACAAUGGGGGCAACCCUGAUCUAGCCAUGCCGCGUGAGUGAUGAAGGCCUUAGGGUUGUAAAGCUCUUUAAGCUGGGAAGAUAAUGACGGUACCAGCAGAAGAAGCCCCGGCUAACUCCGUG
RNAcentral lists this ribosomal RNA (433 nucleotides) under uncultured bacterium. RNAcentral describes it as "partial 16S ribosomal RNA". It matches the Rfam family "Bacterial small subunit ribosomal RNA", at positions 29 to 507 of the family's 1533-position model. The record is from RNAcentral.